CAAGAGAAGGCUGUAUGUAGGUCAGGACUCAAGGGAAAUAGUCAAGAGAAGGCUCUAUGCAGGUCAGGACCCACAGGAAGUAGUCAAGAGAAUGUUGUAGGUCAGGACCCACAGGAAGUAGUCAAGAGAAGGUUGUAGGUCAGGACCCACAGGAAGUAGACAAGAGGAGGCUGCAGGUCAGGACCCACCGGAAGCAGACAAGAGAAGGCUGUAGGUCAGGACCCACAGGAAGUAGUCAAGAGAAGGCUGUAGGUCAGGACCCACAGGGAGUGGACAAGAGAAGGCUGGAAAAGGCUUUGUGAGUCAGGAACCUGGUCUCUGUCAGCCCAUGGAUGGAGCUGAAACAGUAUGAUGAUGACCUUGCAAGCUGUGCCCUGGAGCCCAGCUCUAUCCUGAGGCUACAUCAGUGAGGAGGAAUGGGCUGGUAAA
Molecule: long non-coding RNA, 429 nt
Filed under: Homo sapiens (human)
Lineage: Eukaryota; Metazoa; Chordata; Mammalia; Primates; Hominidae
Description: HSALNT0162526
Source: RNAcentral